AGUUUGAUCCUGACUCAGAUUGAACGCUAGCGGCAUGCCUUACACAUGCAAGUUGAACGGCAGCACGGGGGCAACCCUGGUGGCGAGUGGCGAACGGGUGAGUAAUGCAUCGGAACGUGCCCAUUGAUGGGGGAUAACUGCGCGAAAGCGUUGCUAAUACCGCAUACGACCUACGGGUGAAAGCAGGGGACCGCAAGGCCUUGCGUCGAUGGAGCGGCCGAUGUCGGAUUAGCUUGUUGGUGAGGUAAAGGCUCACCAAGGCGACGAUCCGUAGCUGGUCUGAGAGGACGACCAGCCACACUGGGACUGAGACACGGCCCAGACUCCUACGGGAGGCAGCAGUGGGGAAUCUUGGACAAUGGGCGAAAGCCUGAUCCAGCAAUGCCGCGUGUGGGAAGAAGGCCUUCGGGUUGUAAACCACUUUUGGCAGGAAAGAAAUCGUUUGCGAUAAUACCGCGAAUGGAUGACGGUACCUGCAGAAUAAGCACCGGCUAACUACGUGCCAGCAGCCGCGGUAAUACGUAGGGUGCGAGCGUUAAUCGGAAUUACUGGGCGUAAAGCGUGCGCAGGCGGUUGGAAAAGAUAGAUGUGAAAUCCCUGGGCUCAA
Molecule: ribosomal RNA, 607 nt
Filed under: uncultured bacterium
Lineage: Bacteria
Description: bacterial SSU rRNA
Rfam family: Bacterial small subunit ribosomal RNA
Source: RNAcentral